This 261-nucleotide ribosomal RNA is filed under the name uncultured archaeon. RNAcentral describes it as "partial 16S ribosomal RNA". It matches the Rfam family "Archaeal small subunit ribosomal RNA", at positions 748 to 1008 of the family's 1478-position model. The record is from RNAcentral.
CAGCCGUAAACAAUGUGCGUUAGGUGUGUCGGUAACCACGCGUUACUGAUGCGCCGAAGAGAAAUCGUGAAACGCACCACCUGGGAAGUACGGUCGCAAGGCUGAAACUUAAAGGAAUUGGCGGGGGAGCACCACAACAGGUGGAGCCUGCGGUUUAAUUGGAUUCAACGCCGGACAUCUCACCGGAUAAGACAGUUGAAUGAUUGUCAAUCUGAAGGUUAUACAUGACUAGCUGAGAGGAGGUGCAUGGCGUCAGUGACU